GACGAACGCUGGCGGCGUGCCUAAUACAUGCAAGUCGAGCGAAUUUACGAGAGCUUGCUCUCGUAAAUUAGCGGCGGACGGGUGAGUAACACGUGGGCAACCUGCCUAUAAGACUGGGAUAACUUCGGGAAACCGGAGCUAAUACCGGAUAAUUCACAUCUACUCAUGUAGAUGUGCUGAAAGACGGUUUACGCUGUCACUUAUAGAUGGGCCCGCGGCGCAUUAGCUAGUUGGUGAGGUAACGGCUCACCAAGGCCACGAUGCGUAGCCGACCUGAGAGGGUGAUCGGCCACACUGGGACUGAGACACGGCCCAGACUCCUACGGGAGCAGCAGUA
This 337-nucleotide ribosomal RNA is filed under the name uncultured bacterium. RNAcentral's name for it is "bacterial SSU rRNA". It matches the Rfam family "Bacterial small subunit ribosomal RNA", at positions 28 to 356 of the family's 1533-position model. The record is from RNAcentral.